AUCGCAGACUCACGCCGCCCUCCGCACGCGGAAUUCUGCCCACUGCCGCCUCACGCCACCCUCUGCCUGCCGCCCUCCGUGCGCCGCAGCCUCAUGCCACCCUCUGCACACGGAACGCCGCCUGCCGCCACCUCACACCACCCGGUGCAAGCAGAACGCCGCACGCCGCCCGGCGCACGCCGCCAGCAACCCGCCGCCGGCUGGCCCGGUGCUGCGGGGGUCGUAGAUGGCGGCCAGACUUUGCGGCACCGCCUGGUAAGCCGCUGCAGUGUUUCGCGCCGCCGGUUGACUCAACGGUGGAACAGUUGUUGCCUCCUAUAUCACCGUUCCAACUAGGCAAGCAUACGUCGCAUUUUACUUCGCCAGCAACAGCCAUAUCAGAUUUUGGAUCAGAUGGCAGACGAGAUGGGUGACAAUUUCUGGACAUUGGAAGAGCAAGAGGAGUACUCGAAGAUUACUGCUACGAGGUUUAAGUUAGAGGAUGAUGGAUUCAACUUCUAUAAUACGUACGCAAAAGAGAAAGGGUUUAGUGUUAGGAAGAAUUUUUCCAGACGUGAUCAAGUGACCGGAAAGAUAAUACUUAGGGAGUAUACAUGUUUUAGGGAAGGAUACAGGAAUGUGUUUAUAUGGAACCAACCAUUAGAACAAGAGAACAAGUAGAUUGGUUGUAAUGCUAUGUUAGUAAGAACAGGUAUAAUAAACUGAUUAGGCGGACACCAAAACUAUGUCAUAUAAUCGAAUUCAUACGUGGAAGAAAGAGAAUUGAUGAGAGAGAAGAAAGCCGGCGACAAAUCUAUCGCC
Molecule: long non-coding RNA, 801 nt
Organism: Oryza brachyantha (malo sina)
Lineage: Eukaryota; Viridiplantae; Streptophyta; Magnoliopsida; Poales; Poaceae
Exons: 3
Source: RefSeq, a predicted model, not a curated record